UGAAGGUUACCACCACCAGCCUCGGUUACCGUCUUGCCGCGAGCCGCUCAUUAAUGCGAACCCGAAUAAAAUAAUGGGGAACGUUGAAACCUUUGAGUCUCUUGAAGAUUUCAAUGCAUGUCUACAACAGUACGAGGGAGACACGAACACAAAAUUUAUCGUUUUGAAGAGCGAUCGUGCAUUUGGCAGAAAUGAUCUGACAGUGGAAAAACAGCUUCAGUGGGAAGUGAAGAUUGUUCAUUUCAAUGGCAUGCCUUUUAAGAUAAUUGGGAAAAAGACAUAUAUAUGUCACCAAGGAAGAGACAAGCAUGCCAAAGCCAAACAAAGACGUCAGGAGAGUAAUCCACAAGGUCAUGAAUAUGCAUGCCUUAAAACAAGACGCCUGAUGCAACCAACUAAAAAAAUGGGUUGUCCUGCAACCAUAAAUGUUGUUCAUAUUGUGAGGUUUCCUGAGUAUAAAAUAACGGAAGAUAACUCGUAUCAGAAACGAGAAAAGUCUUCAGCUGUUAGAGAAGCCCUAAGACUAGAUCCAAAGCGUGUGCGCACAGAAGAAAUGUUUGCAGCCAGCUUCCCAGAUGUUAAAGAGCAUCAAAACCACCCUGUUUUUGGAAAGGAAUCAAGAGACAUUCGGAACAUCAUGAAAGAGGUCAAGGCAGAAAACAGGUGCAGACCAUCAUAAUCUACAGUGUCCGCUGCUUUGAGAAUCACAACGCAUUAUUUUAACAAUGUCUUUACUACAUUUCUGGGCCUUGAACGUGGUAGUUCUGUGGUAGCUGGAACGACAUUAGGGCCUUGGUAAACACAUGGAAAGAAGAGGGCUGUGCCGUUGAGUACAGACCCUCUCAGGAGGAAGAGGAGGAGGAUGGUA
Long non-coding RNA from Cyprinus carpio carpio, 868 nucleotides. The record is from Ensembl. Lineage: Eukaryota; Metazoa; Chordata; Actinopteri; Cypriniformes; Cyprinidae.